AUACGUAGGGAGCGAGCGUUGUCCGGAAUUACUGGGCGUAAAGGGCGCGUAGGCGGCGCUUCAAGUCGUCUGUCAAAUGGAAGGGCUUAACCCUUUUUCGCAGACGAAACUGGAGAGCUUGAGAAGCAGAGAGGCAAACAGAAUUCCUGGUGUAGCGGUGAAAUGCGUAGAUAUCAGGAAGAAUACCAGUGGCGAAGGCGGUUUGCUGGCUGCAUACUGACGCUGAAGCGCGAAAGCCAGGGGAGCGAACGGGAUUAGAUACCCCGGUAGUCCUGGCAGUAAACGAUGUAUGCUGGGUGUGAGACUAGCGAUAGUUUCGUGCCGAAGUUAACGCGAUAAGCAUACCGCCUGGGGAG
RNAcentral lists this ribosomal RNA (356 nucleotides) under uncultured bacterium. RNAcentral's name for it is "partial 16S ribosomal RNA". It matches the Rfam family "Bacterial small subunit ribosomal RNA", at positions 523 to 880 of the family's 1533-position model. The record is from RNAcentral.